CCUACGGGGGGCUGCAGUGGGGAAUAUUGGACAAUGGGGGGAACCCUGAUGCAGCCAUGCCGCGUGUGUGAAGAAGGCCCUCGGGUUGUAAAGCACUUUCAGUGGGGAAGAACGCCUGGUGGUUAAUACCCAUCAGGAAAGACAUCACUCACAGAAGAAGCACCGGCUAACUCCGUGCCAGCAGCCGCGGUAAUACGGAGGGUGCGAGCGUUAAUCGGAAUUACUGGGCGUAAAGCGCGCGUAGGUGGCUUGAUAAGCCGGUUGUGAAAGCCCCGGGCUCAACCUGGGAACGGCAUCCGGAACUGUCAAGCUAGAGUGCAGGAGAGGAAGGUAGAACUCCCGGUGUAGCGGUGAAAUGCGUAGAGAUCGGGAGGAAUACCAGUGGCGAAGGCGGCCUUCUGGACUGACACUGACACUGAGGUGCGAAAGCGUGGGUAGCAAACAGGAUUAGAUACCCGUGUAGUC
RNAcentral lists this ribosomal RNA (465 nucleotides) under Vreelandella stevensii. Its description in RNAcentral is "partial 16S ribosomal RNA". It matches the Rfam family "Bacterial small subunit ribosomal RNA", at positions 338 to 795 of the family's 1533-position model. The record is from RNAcentral. Lineage: Bacteria; Pseudomonadati; Pseudomonadota; Gammaproteobacteria; Oceanospirillales; Halomonadaceae.